CGGGUGGGUAACGCGUGGGUAACCUGCCUUAUACAGGGGGAUAACAGUCAGAAAUGGCUGCUAAUACCGCAUAAGCGCACAGAGCUGCAUGGCUCAGUGUGAAAAACUCCGGUGGUAUAAGAUGGACCCGCGUUGGAUUAGCUUGUUGGUGGGGUAACGGCCCACCAAGGCGACGAUCCAUAGCCGGCCUGAGAGGGUGAACGGCCACAUUGGGACUGAGACACGGCCCAGACUCCUACGGGAGGCAGCAUG
RNAcentral lists this ribosomal RNA (252 nucleotides) under uncultured bacterium. Its description in RNAcentral is "partial 16S ribosomal RNA". It matches the Rfam family "Bacterial small subunit ribosomal RNA", at positions 103 to 353 of the family's 1533-position model. The record is from RNAcentral.